RNAcentral lists this long non-coding RNA (1068 nucleotides) under Anser brachyrhynchus (Pink-footed goose). RNAcentral describes it as "lncRNA (ENSABRG00000017962.1)". The record is from RNAcentral. Lineage: Eukaryota; Metazoa; Chordata; Aves; Anseriformes; Anatidae.
CGCCCGGCGCCAUUUUCCGACAUUCCUCAAGCGGGUGCUGCCAUCUAGUGCCCGUCCCGGGGCUACGACCCCGCCGCCCCUCAGUGCGGGCCGUCGGCUCUGUGAAAUUAACCUCUCCUUCCCGUUAACUUGUGACGGGGAAACGGGGGUUUUACACGCCGCCUAGCCCGCGGGUGAAAGAGGGGCUGCCUCACGGGAAGUGUCUGUGCAGAGCUGUGUGGGCGAGAAGCGGUCUCUCGUCAGGGGGCUUCCCGAAAGGAUUUGCUAAACGCCCCGUUUCGGAGCAGUCAAAGAACUGUCCUCCAGAUAAACAGCAAAACCUCAACACUCAAACAUUUUUAUUUUGGAGAAGAGGGGAAGGGGAUGCUACUGAUGCGCUUUUGAUUUUUAAAUUUUUUUUGUCGAAUAGUAUUCAUUUGGCACUUCUGUAUUUUUAAGGAUAAAAAGACAUUUAGAAGACCUGGCAUCGAUAGACACAUUUUGUAACUUGAUUUUAAGGCAGGGAACUGGGAUUUAGUUUUAGUUAGAUUUAGAAGCUUUCCUGUAGUUUUCCUAAUUCAGACCUUGAACCACAAUGCUCCUAGCAAUGAUAACCAUAAACUUAAUAUAAUUUGACCCAAAGGAGAAAUGUUUUUCCAUCAAAGCAAAUGACAUACAAGAAGCACACAUAUUGGGAACAGAUAGACAAGAAACCAGUGGAAGGUCAAAGAGGAAGAUUUUAAAGAGAGAACAGGCAUCACCUAGGAGAGCCCCAGGAGGAUCUGGACAGGAGACCCCAAGAUGGACUGCAGUGUCAGAGAUGGGAGACAUUGGGAUGCCUUUCCAGCAGCUGUUGGCUAGAAAUAGUCAGAGUGAAGCAUUGCCUCUGCAGUACAUCUUUCAUCUCACAGUUGACCAUCUGUGGAAAGGAUACGCCCUUCAUCUCCCUGUGCACAAAGAUGUAUUUACAGCGAAGAAGAUAGUAGAGGUAGCAAAGACAUAAUUACCUGUGGGUUUGUAAGUGGCAGAUUUGUCUUAGCCUUUUGUUCUGAGUAAUAGAGAGAGAAUACAUGUGAGCAUAGAUUUAUU